UACAGAGGGGGCAAGCGUUGUUCGGAAUUACUGGGCGUAAAGGGCGCGUAGGCGGCCCGCUAAGUCGAACGUGAAAUCCCCGGGCUUAACCCGGGAACUGCGUCCGAUACUGGCAGGCUUGAAUCCGGGAGAGGGAUGUGGAAUUCCCGGUGUAGCGGUGAAAUGCGCAGAUAUCGGGAAGAACACCCGUGGCGAAGGCGGCUCUCUGGGACGGUACUGACGCUGAGACGCGAAAGCGUGGGGAGCGAACAGG
Molecule: ribosomal RNA, 253 nt
Filed under: uncultured bacterium
Lineage: Bacteria
Description: partial 16S ribosomal RNA
Rfam family: Bacterial small subunit ribosomal RNA
Source: RNAcentral